ACAAGCCCGGCUGCUGCAGCGAAGAUGCCUUUUGCCCUGCAUUCAGCAGCACCAAAGUGCAACAGCAGCCAAGGGACAAGGUGGCAUCCUACGUCUUGAGACUAGCACAGGCUUUGCCUACCUGGAAAGCGAGACCAAGCCAUGAAACCGUUGGCACAUUUGACACUUCGACACAAUCACUUCUACCAACGCAGAGAAGAGAGACGCUCGUUAACCACCUCUGAAAACAUCUCGGCAUUGUUCUUCCCUCUGUUCGCAGACUG
Alligator mississippiensis (American alligator) is the source of this 263-nucleotide long non-coding RNA. RefSeq lists it as uncharacterized. Lineage: Eukaryota; Metazoa; Chordata; Crocodylia; Alligatoridae. The transcript has 3 exons. The record is from RefSeq and is a predicted model, not a curated record.